Molecule: ribosomal RNA, 440 nt
Filed under: uncultured bacterium
Lineage: Bacteria
Description: partial 16S ribosomal RNA
Rfam family: Bacterial small subunit ribosomal RNA
Source: RNAcentral
CCUACGGGUGGCAGCAGUGGGGAAUAUUGCACAAUGGGGGAAACCCUGAUGCAGCGACGCCGCGUGAGUGAAGAAGUAUUUCGGUAUGUAAAGCUCUAUCAGCAGGGAAGAAAAUGACGGUACCUGACUAAGAAGCCCCGGCUAACUACGUGCCAGCAGCCGCGGUAAUACGUAGGGGGCAAGCGUUAUCCGGAUUUACUGGGUGUAAAGGGAGCGUAGACGGCGCUGCAAGUCCGGAGUGAAAGCCCAUGGCUUAACCAUGGUACUGCUCUGGAAACUGUGGAGCUUGAGUGCGGGAGGGGCAGGCGGAAUUCCUAGUGUAGCGGUGAAAUGCGUAGAUAUUAGGAGGAACACCGAUUGCGCAGGCAGCUUGCUAAUCCGCAUCUGACGCUGAUGCACGAAAGCGUGGGUAGCGAACAGGAUUAGAUACCCCAGUAGUC